UUGACCCAAUUUACCAUAUUUAUCUUCAACAUAACAUACAACGCACCAAAGAGGGGUUACUGUUCACUUUUCGUCGUCAUCACGUGCUGCUCGCGUGAGUUAUCUAAAUUGGUUCUUCAAGGUGCUCCAGCAUCGCCCAUGGAUUUCUGAUGGGAUCAGAGGCUCAUGUGAUUUUCUUUCUUCUUUCGUCUCUUGCUGCUGCGAUGUCUUGAGCUACCAGAAGAACCUUGCCUAAAAUGAUGAUUGGCCCAAUUUACCAUCUUUAUCUGCUGGAUAUUGGAGAUGAACGCUGUUCUAAAUUUCAACAUAACAUAUUGUCACUUCCUACAGGCUCGGAGAUCUUCACCCUUUUCUUCACCUUGGUUUUCAGAUUGGUUUCUCUUUCUAGGGUUUUCACAUCUCUUUUUCUGUCUGGCUUCUCUUUUCUCCCUAUCCUUUCCUUGCAGACUCUAAUUGUGGCUUCUUUUCUUGCGUAAUUCCAUCUUCUACCCUAAAACCUCAACCCUUCUUAUUGUGAUAUCAUUAUGUGAUGAUAUUAUUAUUUGAUUUUGGGGGUUUUUUUUGUUCAUAUGUGAUUUUUGGGGGUUGUUUUUUUUUCGUUUCCUAUUCUUUUGGUUUUGGGUGUUUGUAUCUUUUUAUUUCCUUUAUUUUUCAUGUAUAUGCUUUUCCACUUUUAGUAGGUCUCCCUGUAUUUGGAUUUGGCCAUUGCUCUAUCUACAUGAAACUUAGGCAUAUGGUAUUAUUAUGUGAUUUUUAGGGGUUGUUUCUUGUUUUUCCAUUUCCUUUUCUUUUGCUUCUGGAUGUUUGCUUGUAUCUUUUUAUUUCCUUUCUUUCUGAUCUGGCCAUUGCUUUGUCUUUUCUUUAUUUUGUCCUGGUUACUAUCAGUUUGCUUUAAGUAGAACGGAUUCUCAAAGCUGCACUGCCUCCGCAGCUGACCACACACAAGGAGAAAUAAUUGCAGGAGCAAAACAACUUCUUGUCAAAGCAGGCAAAUGGACCCUUAGGCAAAGUGGAUGGAAGAGAUGGUGGUGAUGCGAACUUGUUCAUACCAUCUUGGCUGGUUAAUCUCAUUAGUAAAUAAUGACUAAGGAGGGGAAACUUCUUUUUGCUUUCAAGCCAGAAAAGUUAUUUGUCAAAAUAAUUAUGUUUUUAAUUUUGUUUUAUUCAGCGCCAAACAUGCCCAUCUUAAUGAGGUAGGUAUUAUGUGCAUGAUACUAUGUAUUUCGUGUUUGCGAUGCUAAUUAAAUUGUUGAUAAGAAAAUACUUGACACUUUCAUAUAGUACUUUAAUACCAAAAGAAAAAGAAAGUGUCUUAUGUGAGUUCUGUUUUUGGCUGGUGCGUAACUCUUAUUUCAAGGCCAAUGUCUGAGGCUGUUUAUUUGUAUGUUUCAUUUGAAAGCUUACUUCUGCAUUUUGGUUGAUGGCCUUGGAGUAAAGCAAAUACAUGGAUUUCUUUCUGAAGACUUCUAUUCAAAGAAAAACUAGGAUCAGUGAGUUCUUGCUAUGUAUGUGUGUUCUUUAUUUACUUAAAGCAUUUGGAUUAAUAGUGAGUAUUUUACACAUUGAAUUCAGAACUUCCAUGUAACAUUUUUAUGUCAAUUUUAGUUCUGGUGCUAUGUCAACCUUGAUUUGAUGUGUGAAGCCCAUGCCUAGACCUAUGUAAUGACCAAAGUCAUGAAAUUGAUGCAAAAUAGGUAAAAAGGGGAACUAAAUGAGUUGAAGAGAUGUGAGAGUUUGGUCUAUAAAGGAUUGGAAGAAGUAUAAGAAGAAAAGUGAAAGGAACAGGGGUUAUUGGCUUGAGGAUGCAGUGGAAAUCUCAUGUAGUAAGAGCUUUAGUUAUUAGUAUAGAUUCUAUUUAAUAGGAACUUCGGUCGGUUAUUGAAAUUAAUGACCUUACAAGGAUAUAAUGGUAUCCUUUGCAAACUUAUCUUAACAGAUUUAUAAAUAUGUCUUCACAGUUUUUUGUCUCAAUUAUGUGCUUGUCUUUUUUUUUUUUUUUUGGGUUAAAAAGAAGCAUUCCCGAGAAGGGGAAAGAAUGAUCAAUGCCUUGUAUAUUUUGCAAUGAAAGACACUGGGACUUGCAUUUUGAUAUGUCAUAUGAAUGAUUUAGCAGUCAUAUAUUGUGCUACUUCUUGUUGUUUCAUUUUGCUUACAUGAGGUUUGCCCUAUGCAACUACCAUGAUAAUCCUGCAGAGCUGUCGAAUGAGUUGUGCAGGUCCAUUUGUGCUCCUUCCAUCCAUUGCUAAUAUUUGCCGUUCAUUUAACAGAAAAUUCCGGAUCACACUGAUUAAAAAUUAGUUGAGCAUCGAACUCCAGACAUUGUUCUUACAAGCAGAACUAGAGUUUACAGUAUUGGAAACAGGAAAGAUAGAUUUCAUCGGAAAUGGAGCGCCUUUGUUGCAGAUCAUAACCUCCAAGAUAGAGACGUUCUACUCUUUCUUCCUCAAUCUCACACUUUGUUUGCUUUGUUAAUCUUUGAAACCUAUGGAAUAGAAAUUAUUUACCCCUGGCAUCACAUGUUCAUGAUUUAAAUAUUAUGUUUGUAGAUUCUGAAUUAUCAGUGAAAUUGGUCGUCCGAUGUAAUGAAAUGAUUUGUGGUUCGUACUUAAGAAUGACUUCAGUAGAUUUAACCUUUUUCCA
Non-coding RNA from Coffea arabica (coffee), 2640 nucleotides. The record is from RefSeq and is a predicted model, not a curated record. NCBI's taxonomy places the organism in Eukaryota, Viridiplantae, Streptophyta, Magnoliopsida, Gentianales, Rubiaceae.